GGUUUCCGUAGGUGAACCUGCGGAAGGAUCAUUACCGAGUGAGGGCCCUCUGGGUCCAACCUCCCACCCGUGUUUAUUUUACCUUGUUGCUUCGGCGGGCCCGCCUUAACUGGCCGCCGGGGGGCUUACGCCCCCGGGCCCGCGCCCGCCGAAGACACCCUCGAACUCUGUCUGAAGAUUGUAGUCUGAGUGAAAAUAUAAAUUAUUUAAAACUUUCAACAACGGAUCUCUUGGUUCCGGCAUCGAUGAAGAACGCAGCGAAAUGCGAUACGUAAUGUGAAUUGCAAAUUCAGUGAAUCAUCGAGUCUUUGAACGCACAUUGCGCCCCCUGGUAUUCCGGGGGGCAUGCCUGUCCGAGCGUCAUUUCUGCCCUCAAGCACGGCUUGUGUGUUGGGCCCCGUCCUCCGAUCCCGGGGGACGGGCCCGAAAGGCAGCGGCGGCACCGCGUCCGGUCCUCGAGCGUAUGGGGCUUUGUCACCCGCUCUGUAGGCCCGGCCGGCGCUUGCCGAUCAACCCAAAUUUUUAUCCAGGUUGACCUCGGAUCAGGUAGGGAUACCCGCUGAACUUAAGCAUAUCAAUAA
This 581-nucleotide ribosomal RNA is filed under the name Penicillium rubens. Its description in RNAcentral is "eukaryotic LSU rRNA". The stretch from base 211 to 363 matches the Rfam family "5.8S ribosomal RNA". The record is from RNAcentral. Lineage: Eukaryota; Fungi; Ascomycota; Eurotiomycetes; Eurotiales; Aspergillaceae.